Molecule: ribosomal RNA, 2900 nt
Filed under: Klebsiella pneumoniae MGH 30
Lineage: Bacteria; Pseudomonadati; Pseudomonadota; Gammaproteobacteria; Enterobacterales; Enterobacteriaceae
Description: bacterial LSU rRNA
Rfam family: Bacterial large subunit ribosomal RNA
Source: RNAcentral
UUAAGCGACUAAGCGUACACGGUGGAUGCCCUGGCAGUCAGAGGCGAUGAAGGACGUGCUAAUCUGCGAAAAGCGUCGGUAAGGUGAUAUGAACCGUUAUAGCCGGCGAUGUCCGAAUGGGGAAACCCAGUGUGAUUCGUCACACUAUCGUUAACUGAAUACAUAGGUUAACGAGGCGAACCGGGGGAACUGAAACAUCUAAGUACCCCGAGGAAAAGAAAUCAACCGAGAUUCCCCCAGUAGCGGCGAGCGAACGGGGAGCAGCCCAGAGUCUGAAUCAGCUUGUGUGUUAGUGGAACGGUCUGGAAAGUCCGACGGUACAGGGUGAUAGUCCCGUACACCAAAAUGCACAGGCUGUGAACUCGAAGAGUAGGGCGGGACACGUGGUAUCCUGUCUGAAUAUGGGGGGACCAUCCUCCAAGGCUAAAUACUCCUGACUGACCGAUAGUGAACCAGUACCGUGAGGGAAAGGCGAAAAGAACCCCGGCGAGGGGAGUGAAAAAGAACCUGAAACCGUGUACGUACAAGCAGUGGGAGCACCUUCGGGUGUGACUGCGUACCUUUUGUAUAAUGGGUCAGCGACUUAUAUUCUGUAGCAAGGUUAACCGUAUAGGGGAGCCGCAGGGAAACCGAGUCUUAACUGGGCGUUAAGUUGCAGGGUAUAGACCCGAAACCCGGUGAUCUAGCCAUGGGCAGGUUGAAGGUUGGGUAACACUAACUGGAGGACCGAACCGACUAAUGUUGAAAAAUUAGCGGAUGACUUGUGGCUGGGGGUGAAAGGCCAAUCAAACCGGGAGAUAGCUGGUUCUCCCCGAAAGCUAUUUAGGUAGCGCCUCGUGAACUCAUCUUCGGGGGUAGAGCACUGUUUCGGCUAGGGGGUCAUCCCGACUUACCAACCCGAUGCAAACUACGAAUACCGAAGAAUGUUAUCACGGGAGACACACGGCGGGUGCUAACGUCCGUCGUGAAGAGGGAAACAACCCAGACCGCCAGCUAAGGUCCCAAAGUCAUGGUUAAGUGGGAAACGAUGUGGGAAGGCACAGACAGCCAGGAUGUUGGCUUAGAAGCAGCCAUCAUUUAAAGAAAGCGUAAUAGCUCACUGGUCGAGUCGGCCUGCGCGGAAGAUGUAACGGGGCUAAACCAUGCACCGAAGCUGCGGCAGCGACACUAUGUGUUGUUGGGUAGGGGAGCGUUCUGUAAGCCUGCGAAGGUGACCUGUGAGGGUUGCUGGAGGUAUCAGAAGUGCGAAUGCUGACAUAAGUAACGAUAAAGCGGGUGAAAAGCCCGCUCGCCGGAAGACCAAGGGUUCCUGUCCAACGUUAAUCGGGGCAGGGUGAGUCGACCCCUAAGGCGAGGCCGAAAGGCGUAGUCGAUGGGAAACAGGUUAAUAUUCCUGUACUUGGUGUUACUGCGAAGGGGGGACGGAGAAGGCUAUGUUAGCCGGGCGACGGUUGUCCCGGUUUAAGCAUGUAGGCUGGUUAUCCAGGCAAAUCCGGAUAAUCAAGGCUGAGGUGUGAUGACGAGGCACUACGGUGCUGAAGUAACAAAUGCCCUGCUUCCAGGAAAAGCCUCUAAGCAUCAGGUAACAUCAAAUCGUACCCCAAACCGACACAGGUGGUCAGGUAGAGAAUACCAAGGCGCUUGAGAGAACUCGGGUGAAGGAACUAGGCAAAAUGGUGCCGUAACUUCGGGAGAAGGCACGCUGGUGUGUAGGUGAAGUCCCUGCGGAUGGAGCUGAGACCAGUCGAAGAUACCAGCUGGCUGCAACUGUUUAUUAAAAACACAGCACUGUGCAAACACGAAAGUGGACGUAUACGGUGUGACGCCUGCCCGGUGCCGGAAGGUUAAUUGAUGGGGUUAUCCGUAAGGAGAAGCUCUUGAUCGAAGCCCCGGUAAACGGCGGCCGUAACUAUAACGGUCCUAAGGUAGCGAAAUUCCUUGUCGGGUAAGUUCCGACCUGCACGAAUGGCGUAAUGAUGGCCAGGCUGUCUCCACCCGAGACUCAGUGAAAUUGAACUCGCUGUGAAGAUGCAGUGUACCCGCGGCAAGACGGAAAGACCCCGUGAACCUUUACUAUAGCUUGACACUGAACAUUGAGCCUUGAUGUGUAGGAUAGGUGGGAGGCUUUGAAGCGUGGACGCCAGUCUGCGUGGAGCCAACCUUGAAAUACCACCCUUUAAUGUUUGAUGUUCUAACGUUGGCCCCUUACCGGGGUUGCGGACAGUGUCUGGUGGGUAGUUUGACUGGGGCGGUCUCCUCCCAAAGCGUAACGGAGGAGCACGAAGGUUAGCUAAUCCUGGUCGGACAUCAGGAGGUUAGUGCAAUGGCAUAAGCUAGCUUGACUGCGAGCGUGACGGCGCGAGCAGGUGCGAAAGCAGGUCAUAGUGAUCCGGUGGUUCUGAAUGGAAGGGCCAUCGCUCAACGGAUAAAAGGUACUCCGGGGAUAACAGGCUGAUACCGCCCAAGAGUUCAUAUCGACGGCGGUGUUUGGCACCUCGAUGUCGGCUCAUCACAUCCUGGGGCUGAAGUAGGUCCCAAGGGUAUGGCUGUUCGCCAUUUAAAGUGGUACGCGAGCUGGGUUUAGAACGUCGUGAGACAGUUCGGUCCCUAUCUGCCGUGGGCGCUGGAGAAUUGAGGGGGGCUGCUCCUAGUACGAGAGGACCGGAGUGGACGCAUCACUGGUGUUCGGGUUGUCAUGCCAAUGGCACUGCCCGGUAGCUAAAUGCGGAAGAGAUAAGUGCUGAAAGCAUCUAAGCACGAAACUUGCCCCGAGAUGAGUUCUCCCUGAGACUUUAAGUCUCCUGAAGGAACGUUGAAGACGACGACGUUGAUAGGCCGGGUGUGUAAGCGCAGCGAUGCGUUGAGCUAACCGGUACUAAUGAACCGUGAGGCUUAACCUU